This 452-nucleotide ribosomal RNA is filed under the name uncultured bacterium. RNAcentral describes it as "bacterial SSU rRNA". It matches the Rfam family "Bacterial small subunit ribosomal RNA", at positions 43 to 524 of the family's 1533-position model. The record is from RNAcentral.
CAGGCCUAACACAUGCAAGUCGAGCGGCAGCGCGAGUAGUUUACUACUUGGCGGCGAGCGGCGGACGGCUGAGUAACGCGUGGGAACGUGCCCCAAAGUGAGGGAUAAGCACCGGAAACGGUGUCUAAUACCGCAUAUGAUCUUCGGAUUAAAGCUUUAUGCGCUUUGGGAGCGGCCCGCGUCUGAUUAGAUUGUUGGUGAGGUAAUGGCUCACCAAGUCGACGAUCAGUAGCUGGUCUGAGAGGAUGAUCAGCCAGACUGGAACUGAGAUACGGUCCAGACUCCUACGGGAGGCAGCAGUAAGGAAUCUUCCACAAUGGGGGAAACCCUGAUGGAGCAACGCCGCGUGCAGGAUGAAGGCCUUCGGGUCGUAAACUGCUUUUAUAAGUGAAGAAUAUGACUGUAACUUAUGAAUAAGGAUCGGCUAACUACGUGCCAGCAGCCGCGGUAAU